Molecule: ribosomal RNA, 253 nt
Filed under: uncultured bacterium
Lineage: Bacteria
Description: partial 16S ribosomal RNA
Rfam family: Bacterial small subunit ribosomal RNA
Source: RNAcentral
UACGGGGGGGGCAAGCGUUGUUCGGAAUUACUGGGCGUAAAGGGUUCGUAGGUGGCUUGUUAAGUCAGACGUGAAAUCCCUCGGCUCAACCGGGGAACUGCGUCUGAGACUGAUGAGCUCGAGUGCAGGAGAGGAACGCGGAAUUCCAGGUGUAGCGGUGAAAUGCGUAGAUAUGGGGGAGAACACUCGUGGCGAAGGCGGCCAGCUAGACCAGUUCUGACACUGAGGCGCGACAGCGUGGGGAGCAAACAGG